Molecule: transfer RNA, 77 nt
Filed under: Candidatus Abawacabacteria bacterium RIFCSPHIGHO2_01_FULL_46_8
Lineage: Bacteria; Candidatus Abawacaibacteriota
Also listed under: 1 other name
Description: tRNA-Asp
Rfam family: tRNA
About the family: Transfer RNA (tRNA) molecules are approximately 80 nucleotides in length. Their secondary structure includes four short double-helical elements and three loops (D, anti-codon, and T loops).
Source: RNAcentral
GGGGGCGUAGCUCAGUUGGUUAGAGCGCCUGCCUGUCACGCAGGAGGUCGCGGGUUCGAGUCCCGUCGUCCCCGCCA